UAAAGGGAUAGUGCACCCAAAAAUGAAAAUUCAGCCAUUAUCUACUCACCCAUAUGCCGAGGGAGGCUCAGGUGAAGUUUUAGAGUCCUCACAUCACUUGCAGAGAUCCAAGGGGAGAGGAGGCAGCAACACAACUCCACCUAAUGGAGGCUGACGGCGCCCCAGAUUCAAACGUCCAAAAACACAUAAUUGAAACCACAAAAUAUCUCCAUACUGCUCGUCCGUAGUGAUCCAAGUGUCCUGAAGCCCCGACAUAAAAAGUUGUUUGGAAAAACGUCAUUUGAACUCUGUUUUUAGCCUCAUUGUAGCCUGUAGCUCUGACUGCCUCUCUGGGCACUGCAAUCACGUGUUUGUGCACCAGUGAAUGUACACUAGUAGAGUGCAUAAGACAUACAGUAUACAGUAUGUGUAUAUGUGUGUACAUAUAUGUGAUGGUCCAAAGCGUUUUGGUCUUGAGGCUUCCUGUCAGACUACAAACACUCGCUGCUCCCUGGAGGAACACCUGAACCCCCAACACACCUCCACCUCCUCCAAUCCCACAAUCCUCCCCACCACCACCACGUACCCAUCAACCCCCAGGAGAGCUGCUGUCACACACACUGACAGCCUCUGUGGGUGUGUGUGUGUGUGUGUGUGUGUGUGUUCAGCAGGUGUCUGUGCAUGCCUCACAUUCACUUUCAAAUCCACUUCAGUGACAGAAAAAAAACAUACUGUAUAUCUGUGUUUCUGAAAUCGUCAAGUAUUGAAACGGUUACGUAGAAAUAUUCCAGAGAGGAAACAGAUCGCUUCCGACAGCUGCUCCUCCUCCUCUCAGUCAGUCGUUGGUAGAUUUCUGAGGCUGCGUAAAGCUCUUCAUGUUUCUGAUUUACUAUCUUUCAGAUAUAUUGAAGGGAACAGAUACUGAUCAGAUAUUCAGUAUUUAUCAGGACUCAGAGGAAAAAGCAGCUCUGAUCUGUCUGCACAUGAAUCUCUAACAAACUGCAGCUAGUUUACCUCCAAAAAAUCAGUGUGGAUUUCUGAACACACACUGGUUCACAAUUAAAACACAGCCUUUAAUUUAAAAUGUAUUUCCUAAUUUUAAAAAUAGUUUUGGCUCUGAAACAAGUUGGUUUACCUUUGAUUUAUUUCUGACAUGAAGUGCAUCAGUUCACUCUAAAACAUCUUUUUUAAAAUGGUUUGUUUUUAUACAGACGUCUUGGUUUACUACUGACGGGCAUCAUCUCUGUAUGAAAUCCACUGCUGUACCUUCAGAGAAAUGUUUCCUUUAACUCACAGACUGUGUCUCAAAGUGUUCAAACAUGUAAAGAUUCUUAAAGCUGCGCUGAUCAAUAUUUUUCACAACUAUGAUGAAAGGACUCGCUCACAGUGAGAAACCCACUGACGGUUCUCUCCGUCUUUGCAGCUCUGUGGAGCGUUUGAGCCUCUUUUAGCUCCUAGUUUUGGGCACAUUUCCUGCCCGGUUUGAGCUCAGCUGUUGUCGACAAACGAGCUCAGAUAAACCCUCUGUGCUCGACCCGCUGUCGAUGUUCUCAGGAGUGGUGGAGGCCAAAACAGAGCUAAAAUAGAGAGAUUACAGGACUUAUAUUCAUCAGGUGACACAAACACUGAUGAUGAUGACAACGUGUGCUCUGUUGCUAACCUGUUUGACAUCAUAACUUUAUUAGGUAAUAUGUCGGAUGGUGCAUUUACAAGUUGCUCUGCUGCCCCCAAGUGGCCAAAAAUACUAAUUAGUGCAGCUUUAAGAG
Long non-coding RNA from Epinephelus moara (kelp grouper), 1745 nucleotides. RefSeq lists it as uncharacterized. The record is from RefSeq and is a predicted model, not a curated record. The transcript has 3 exons. NCBI's taxonomy places the organism in Eukaryota, Metazoa, Chordata, Actinopteri, Perciformes, Serranidae.